This 301-nucleotide ribosomal RNA is filed under the name uncultured bacterium. RNAcentral describes it as "partial 16S ribosomal RNA". It matches the Rfam family "Bacterial small subunit ribosomal RNA", at positions 509 to 807 of the family's 1533-position model. The record is from RNAcentral.
CAGCCGCCGCGGGAAUACAGAGGGUGCGAGCGUUAAUCGGAUUUACUGGGCGUAAAGCGUGCGUAGGCGGCUAAUUGAGUCGGAUGUGAAAUCCCCGAGCUUAACUUGGGAAUUGCAUUAGAUACUGGUUAGCUAGAGUGUGGGAGAGGAUGGUAGAAUUCCAGGUGUAGCGGUGAAAUGCGUAGAGAUCUGGAGGAAUACCGAUGGCGAAGGCAGCCAUCUGGCCUAACACUGACGCUGAGGUACGAAAGCAUGGGGAGCAAACAGGAUUAGAUACCCGAGUAGUCCCUGUCUCUUAUAC